AGGACGAACGCUGGCGGCGUGCUUAACACAUGCAAGUCGAGCGGAAAGGCCCUUCGGGGUACUCAAGCGGCGAACGGGUGAGUAACACGUGAGCAACCUGCCCUUAGCUCCGGGAUAGCUCCGGGAAACCGGAAUUAAUACCGGAUACGACCACGGCCGACAUCUGCUGUGGUGGAAAGGAUUCCGGCUAAGGAUGGGCUCGCGGCCUAUCAGCUAGUUGGUGGGGUAAUGGCCCACCAAGGCGACGACGGGUA
This 254-nucleotide ribosomal RNA is filed under the name uncultured bacterium. RNAcentral describes it as "partial small subunit ribosomal RNA". It matches the Rfam family "Bacterial small subunit ribosomal RNA", at positions 26 to 285 of the family's 1533-position model. The record is from RNAcentral.